This 465-nucleotide ribosomal RNA is filed under the name Vreelandella stevensii. Its description in RNAcentral is "partial 16S ribosomal RNA". It matches the Rfam family "Bacterial small subunit ribosomal RNA", at positions 338 to 795 of the family's 1533-position model. The record is from RNAcentral. Lineage: Bacteria; Pseudomonadati; Pseudomonadota; Gammaproteobacteria; Oceanospirillales; Halomonadaceae.
CCUCCGGGGGGCUGCAGUGGGGAAUAUUGGACAAUGGGGGGAACCCUGAUCCAGCCAUGCCGCGUGUGUGAAGAAGGCCCUCGGGUUGUAAAGCACUUUCAGUGAGGAAGAACGCCUGGUGGUUAAUACCCAUCAGGAAAGACAUCACUCACAGAAGAAGCACCGGCUAACCCCGUGCCAGCAGCCGCGGUAAUACGGAGGGUGCGAGCGUUAAUCGGAAUUACUGGGCGUAAAGCGCGCGUAGGUGGCUUGAUAAGCCGGUUGUGAAAGCCCCGGGCUCAACCUGGGAACGGCAUCCGGAACUGUCAAGCUAGAGUGCAGGAGAGGAAGGUAGAAUUCCCGGUGUAGCGGUGAAAUGCGUAGAGAUCGGGAGGAAUACCAGUGGCGAAGGCGGCCUUCUGGACUGACACUGACACUGAGGUGCGAAAGCGUGGGUAGCAAACAGGAUUAGAUACCCUUGUAGUC